Molecule: long non-coding RNA, 779 nt
Organism: Cannabis sativa
Lineage: Eukaryota; Viridiplantae; Streptophyta; Magnoliopsida; Rosales; Cannabaceae
Exons: 3
Source: RefSeq, a predicted model, not a curated record
UCUCAACAAUAUUUCUAGAUCAUGGUUGUACAUGCAUCAGUCAAAGAGAUUUGGGUGGGGAAGAUUGAUGAGUUUGAUUAGGUAAUUAAUGGAGUUAUGGUUCCCUUUUGACCGAGUAUGAGGGAGAAGUUUGAAUUUAAGCAUUUUAUGUUGUAUUUUAUGUUGUAUUUAAUUAGCUAUAGCUAAAUAGGAGGCACAAAAUUGGUUAAAUAUUGGUGAGUUUAGUUAAACCUUAAUGCUAUAAAUAGGAGCUAUCAUCUUAACAUUUUUUUUCAUUCACUAAAAGCCAAAUAGCUAUCCACCAUACUCUCUCUUGCCAUCUUUUAUAGUCAAUUACUUAUUUUUUUUUUCAAGAGCCAAAAUAGCCAUACACACCAUCAUAAUUACUACAAGCUUUAAACACCAACGUCCUCUCAUAAACAUCACCAUCAUUAUCCCAUACAUAUAUACAUCCCCUUUAUCAUAUCGACAUCACUAUCGCCACUAUUUUUACAUUCAAAUUUUAGUGCUCAACUAGAUCUCAUUGGAAGCUAAUUAAGGUUUUUCAUAGGAUAAUUAUUUUUCAAGGGUCACUUUCAUUGCAAUCAAGGCUAGGACUCCACAUUCGAGACCAAGAUAACUGAAAGUUUAGAAAGCCGGUGGCGAGUGGAACUUUGAACGCUUGUGUGUGUGAACUUGCUGAGGACCAUAUAACUGCGGGCGGUCUAGGGCGCUCUGUUUAUUUAUUUACGUUAUUAAACUUAUGUCGCAAUUAUUUAAGUUAUUAAUUAUUAUGUUUU